This 253-nucleotide ribosomal RNA is filed under the name uncultured bacterium. RNAcentral describes it as "partial 16S ribosomal RNA". It matches the Rfam family "Bacterial small subunit ribosomal RNA", at positions 524 to 776 of the family's 1533-position model. The record is from RNAcentral.
GACAGAGGGUGCAAACGUUGUUCGGAAUUACUGGGCGUAAAGCGCGUGUAGGCGGCUCUGCAAGUCGGAUGUGAAAUCUCACGGCUCAACCAUGGAAGUGCAUUCGAAACUGCAGGGCUAGAGUUCUGGAGAGGAAGGUGGAAUGCUUGGUGUAGAGGUGAAAUUCGUAGAUAUCAAGCGGAACACCGGUGGCGAAGGCGGCCUUCUGGACAGUAACUGACGCUGAGACGCGAAAGCGUGGGGAGCAAACAGG